RNAcentral lists this long non-coding RNA (2122 nucleotides) under Prunus persica (peach). RNAcentral describes it as "long non-coding RNA (PPER_LNC006165)". The record is from RNAcentral. Lineage: Eukaryota; Viridiplantae; Streptophyta; Magnoliopsida; Rosales; Rosaceae.
CUCACAAUAGUCAGUUCAUGUUAGGUUGAGCUAGACUUCUCACGUUAAAAGUUCAAGGGGAGGUGGCAUUAAAAUUUCUCAAUUUCUUAUUUGAAAUCCUCUACUGAAAUGAAAUCCAUACAAUUAAUUUGUUUUGCUAAAAAUUGGAAAUAAUAUUUGAUAUUCAAAUCCAAAUACAAAUGGCCGUUACAUUUUCUUCACUUUUAUUUAGGAUCUUGAUGCCAACACCGUGCCCUCCUCCAAAACAAGUUUUUCACUUCAUCAACUCUAAAUCUAAAUCCCAACACACAAAAAUUAUUCCGUUUCUGAUACCUAUCAUCGCUACAUAAACUCCCUUUAUACCCAAAAAUAUAGGUAUUGUAGAGAUCGCCAUACUCUGAUUCUUUGAUUCGAGGAAGAGAUCAGGCAUCCAGCUUGUAAAGGAAGUAAAGUAAGGAUUCAAAUUUCUUUGGUUAGGUUGUGAAAGAAGUUGAUAUUCCACUCUAAAACCAAGCUCGAAACUCACAUUUACAUUUUCACCUUCACAUUCUCACAAAGGUUGAAACAAGAUGAAAAGAGCAAAAGUAGCUUUUUAAGUGAAAAGGAGGUUUCUUUUGGGAACUAAAAGAAGUUAGCUGGUCAUGUUCACGGAAUAAAUGCCUUGUUGCGGUUCAGAUCUUUUUCAAAUUUAUUUACCACAUACUCAUUUUUAGGUUAGCGUAGAGUUAGCAAAAUGCUCUAGUACCAACUCUCAUCUUCUUUUUUAUUUUUUUAAAUUUUUUAAAUUUUUAAAAUUAUUUUUUUUUUUGUUGCAUUUGUUAGAAUAUUUGAGUGGUAGUAGGUACACAAGUAGUUUCACAGUGAAGUACGUAUAAAGACAAAAUUACAAAAAAUUAAGAAAUAAAACCCUUGGCAGGUCUCGCAUACAAUUGGCAAACGACAAGCCAUCUAUUCGUUUGAGGCCAAGGAUUACUUGACAAAAUAAAACCCUGACUAAGAACAAAAACAAAACGCCAACACACCUCAAAAGAACCAAUUCAAAGCACAGAAGAGCAAAGAUUCCUCUCAAGCUUUCAAGCCAGUAUUUAAAUAUAAUUUCCAUAGCAGUUUAUGACCACAAACUGACACUACCAUAAAAUUUCAGAUACAAUAAAACUAUUAAUAUUAAUGUUCUCAGGAAAAAAGACCGUCAAAUAUAGAACAAAGGGGAAAUAAAAAGGAAAAAAUGAAAAAUGAAAAAAAAGAAAAAGCAUCCCAAUCACUCUCCUGCUACAAACAUCCUACUGAAAGAGAUGGUUGAACCAAAGAUUAGGCAAGGCGAGGAUGGAUUUCGACUGAUUUUCUGCCCACCACAUAUACAGAACAACAUUGCCAUUGCAAGCAAAGCCUCUCACAUGGAUGAAAAGCUAUGAUACAUCAACAUCAGAAUCUACUCCGUCCUUCACUGACCCCACCUCAACACAUAUCGUUGCCAACCAAACUGACUUCACAUGACACGACACGAAAAUCCAACUAAAUUGAAAAAUAACUCACCAUCAAAACAUUUGUAGAACUCAGAAGCACUUCCUGUGGACAAUGGAUGGACCAGACUCAUCGUACUCACCCUUGGAAAUCCACAUCUAAUCCAUUGCAAGAAAAGAAAAAAAAGCAUAUCAGUCUCAAGCAAAAACUAUACAUAGCAUAGGAAUAAUAAAAAAUGAAGGAAAGGAAAUCAUAAACAAAUAAGAGACACGACAAUGAUAAUCACCUGCUGGAAGGUACUGAGGGAUGCAAGGAUGGACCCUCCAAUCCAGACACUGUACUUUCUCUCUGGUGGAGCCACAACCUUAAUCUUCAUGCUGCUUGGAGCAAGAGCAGUAAUCUCCUUGCUCAUCCUGUCUGCAAUACCGGGGAACAUAGUUGACCCACCACUGAGCACAAUGUUUCCAUAUAGGUCUUUCCUAAUAUCCACAUCACACUUCAUGAUAGAGUUGUAGGUAGUCUCAUGAAUUCCAGCAGCUUCCAUUCCAAUGAGUGAUGGUUGGAAGAGAACUUCUGGGCACCGGAAUCUCUCAGCUCCAAUUGUGAUUACUUGGCCAUCGGGAAGCUCAUAGUUCUUCUCUACUGAAGAGCUGCUCUUAGCAGUCUCAAGUUCUUGCUCAUA